This 746-nucleotide ribosomal RNA is filed under the name uncultured bacterium. RNAcentral's name for it is "bacterial SSU rRNA". It matches the Rfam family "Bacterial small subunit ribosomal RNA", at positions 28 to 776 of the family's 1533-position model. The record is from RNAcentral.
GAUGAACGCUGGCGGCGUGCCUAACACAUGCAAGUCGAGCGAGAAGUUUGUAAAGGAUACUUCGGUUGAAUUUAUAAAUGGAAAGCGGCGGACGGGUGAGUAACGCGUAGGCAACCUGCCCCAUACAGAGGGAUAGCAAUGGGAAACCGUUAUUAAAACCUCAUAAUACAGCAUAACUGCAUAGUUGAGCUGUCAAAGAUUUAUCGGUAUGGGAUGGGCCUGCGUCUGAUUAGCUAGUUGGUAAGGUAACGGCUUACCAAGGCAACGAUCAGUAGCCGACCUGAGAGGGUGAUCGGCCACAUUGGAACUGAGACACGGUCCAAACUCCUACGGGAGGCAGCAGUGGGGAAUAUUGCACAAUGGGCGAAAGCCUGAUGCAGCAACGCCGCGUGAACGAUGAAGGCCUUUGGGUCGUAAAGUUCUGUCCAUAGGGAAGAUAAUGACGGUACCUUUGGAGGAAGCCCCGGCUAACUACGUGCCAGCAGCCGCGGUAAUACGUAGGGGGCGAGCGUUAUCCGGAAUUAUUGGGCGUAAAGAGUAUGUAGGUGGUCUCUUAAGCCUGGGGUUUAAGGCAAUGGCUUAACCAUUGUAUGCCCUAGGAACUGGGGGACUUGAGUGCAGGAGGGGAAAGCGGAAUUCCUAGUGUAGCGGUGAAAUGCAUAGAUAUUAGGAGGAACACCAGUGGCGAAGGCGGCUUUCUGGACUGCAACUGACACUCAAAUACGAAAGCGUGGGGAGCAAACAGG